GUGUCCAGCAACCAAAGGAGUUCAACAUGAAAGUCUUUACCAUCAACUUUUUCAAAUUACUCUUUAUUCUUCUUCUAUCAAUCGUUUUAGAACCCGAGGGCGAACUUCCAGAAUGUACUCGCUUUUCGGAGGAGAUAAAAAAUGUUAAACAGGAAAGAACACGGUCCUACUAUACAAAAAACAUUUCUUAAACUGCAUUUGGAAUCCCAAACUAAUAAAUGUCUUUGAUUUAAAUACACAACGUAAAACGACAUAAAAAUGUUAUAACAACAAGUUCACAUGAUUUAUUCGUUUUGAAACAAUUAAUAAAUUUUGCCCUGUUUCUGCGCUUUAUAGACCUGACUU
Molecule: long non-coding RNA, 345 nt
Filed under: Drosophila melanogaster (fruit fly)
Lineage: Eukaryota; Metazoa; Arthropoda; Insecta; Diptera; Drosophilidae
Description: long non-coding RNA:CR43855 (Dmel_CR43855)
Source: RNAcentral